RNAcentral lists this ribosomal RNA (408 nucleotides) under uncultured bacterium. RNAcentral's name for it is "partial 16S ribosomal RNA". It matches the Rfam family "Bacterial small subunit ribosomal RNA", at positions 28 to 526 of the family's 1533-position model. The record is from RNAcentral.
GACGAACGCUGGCGGCGUGCUUAACACAUGCAAGUCGAACGAAGUGGCGAACGGGUGAGUAACGCGUAAUCAACCUGCCCUUCAGAGGGGGACAACAGUUGGACACGACUGCUAAUACCGCAUACUGAAGGAGGGGAUUGCGUCUGAUUAGCUAGUUGGAGGGUUACCGGCCCACAAAGGCGCUGAUCAGUAGCCGGUCCGAGAGGAUGAACGGGCACAUUGGGACUGAGACACGGCCCAGACUCCUACGGGAGGCAGCAGUGGGGAAUCUUCCGCAAUGGAGGAAAGGCUGACGGAGGAACGCCGCGUGAGUGAUGACGGUCUUCGGGUUGGAAAGCUCUGUUAAUCGGGACGCGGUACCGGAAUAGAAAGCCACGGCUAACUACGUGCCAGCAGCCGCGGUAAUUC